AAAAGGUAAAUAAGGGCACUAAUAGUGGAUGCCUUGACAAUCAAUACCGAUGAAGGACGUAGAACUCUGCGAUAAGUCUUGGGGAGCUGAGAGCAAGCUUUGAUCCAGGAAU
This 112-nucleotide ribosomal RNA is filed under the name Candidatus Saccharimonadota bacterium. RNAcentral describes it as "partial 23S ribosomal RNA". It matches the Rfam family "Bacterial large subunit ribosomal RNA", at positions 1 to 111 of the family's 2925-position model. Lineage: Bacteria; Candidatus Saccharimonadota. The record is from RNAcentral.